AAAGCCGGGGGUACUGGGCCUCAGGUCAGGCCUAUGGCCAUGGCCUUCACAGACCUGCUGGAUGCUCUGGGCAGCAUGGGCCGCUUCCAGCUCAACCACACAGCCCUGCUGCUGCUGCCCUGCGGCCUGCUGGCCUGCCACAACUUCCUGCAGAACUUCACGGCCGCUGUCCCCCCCCACCACUGCCGGGGCCCUGCCAACCACACUGAGGCCUCCACCAACGACUCGGGGGCCUGGCUGAGGGCCACCAUACCCCUGGACCAGCUUGGGGCCCCUGAGCCCUGCCGGCGCUUCACCAAGCCUCAGUGGGCCCUGCUGAGCCCCAACUCCUCCAUCCCGGGCGCGGCCACGGAGGGCUGCAAGGACGGCUGGGUCUAUAACCGCAGUGUUUUCCCGUCCACCAUCGUGAUGGAGUGGGAUCUGGUGUGUGAGGCCCGCACUCUCCGAGACCUGGCGCAGUCCGUCUACAUGGCCGGGGUGCUGGUGGGGGCUGCCGUGUUUGGCAGCUUGGCAGACAGGCUGGGCUGCAAGGGCCCCCUGGUCUGGUCCUACCUGCAGCUGGCAGCUUCGGGGGCCGCCACAGCGUAUUUCAGCUCCUUCAGUGCCUAUUGCGUCUUCCGGUUCCUGAUGGGCAUGACCUUCUCUGGCAUCAUCCUCAACUCCGUCUCCCUGUUGUGGAGUGGAUGCCCACACGGGGCCGGACUGUGGCGGGUAUUUUGCUGGGGUAUUCCUUCACCCUGGGCCAGCUCAUCCUGGCUGGGGUAGCCUACCUGAUUCGCCCCUGGCGGUGCCUGCAGUUUGCCAUCUCUGCUCCUUUCCUGAUCUUUUUCCUCUAUUCUUGGUGGCUUCCAGAGUCAUCCCGCUGGCUCCUCCUGCAUGGCAAGUCCCAGUUAGCUGUACAGAAUCUGCAGAAGGUGGCUGCAAUGAACGGGAGGAAGGAGGAAGGGGAAAGGCUGACCAAGGAGGUGAUGAGCUCCUACAUCCAAAGCGAGUUUGCAAGUGUCUGCACCUCCAACUCAAUCUUGGACCUCUUCCGAACCCCGGCCAUCCGCAAGGUCACAUGCUGUCUCAUGGUGAUUUGGUUCUCCAACUCUGUGGCUUACUAUGGCCUGGCCAUGGACCUGCAGAAGUUUGGGCUCAGCCUAUACCUGGUGCAGGCCCUGUUUGGAAUCAUCAACACCCCGGCCAUGCUGGUGGCCACCGCCACCAUGAUUUACGUGGGCCGCCGUGCCACGGUGGCCUCCUUCCUCAUCCUGGCCGGGCUCAUGGUGAUCGCCAACAUGUUUGUGCCAGAAGGCACGCAGAUCCUGUGCACAGCCCAGGCAGCGCUGGGCAAAGGCUGCCUGGCCAGCUCCUUCAUCUGUGUGUACCUGUUUACCGGCGAGCUGUACCCCACGGAGAUCAGGCAGAUGGGGAUGGGCUUUGCCUCUGUCCACGCCCGCCUCGGGGGCCUGACGGCGCCCCUGGUUACCACACUUGGGGAAUACAGCACCAUCCUGCCACCCGUGAGCUUUGGGGCCACCGCAAUCCUGGCUGGGCUGGCCGUCUGCGUCCUGACCGAGACCCGCAACAUGCCCCUGGUGGAGACCAUCGCAGCCAUGGAGAGGAGGGUCAAAGAAGGCUCUUCCAAGAAACAUGUAGAAGAGAAGAGUGAAGAAAUUUCUCUUCAGCAGCUGAGAGCAUCUCCCCUCAAAGAGACCAUCUAAGCUGCCUGGAACCUGGUGCUUGCUAGCAGCACCUGAGCCGAUGUCCAGACGGCCCCCUGGGGGCUUCUCCCAGGAGCCCCUGGGGACACUGGUGCUGAACUGGAGGAAAGGUCGCUGAAAACAUCAUGGCUCCUAUAGACAGCCACCCACAAGCCAGGGCUGCUUGGAGGGAAACCCCACCAGAAACAGCCAAUCUGUGUUACAAAUGCAUAGAAAGCCAGGAGAAGCCAGUCCCAGGGACCAAAGGAGAGACUGUUUUCCUUUCCCAUCCCCAAUCUGCCCCUUAAAAUGUCUCUGUAUUAGUCCAUUCUUGCACUCCUAUAAAGAACUACCUGAGACUGGGUCAUUUACAAGGAAAAGAGGUUUAAUUGACUCACAGUUCUGCAGAUUGUACAGGAAGCAUGGCUGGGAGGCCUCAGGAAACUUACAAUCAUUGCAGAAGGCAAAGAGGAAGCAAGCACGUCUUCACAUGGCUGGCAGGAGAGAGAGAAAGUGAAGGGGAAGGUGCCGCACACUUUACAACAGCCAGAUCUCGUGAGAACUCUUUAUCACGAGACAGCACUAGGGGGGUGGUGCCAAACCAUUAGAAACCAUCCGCAGUAUCCAAGCACCUUGCACUAGGCCCCACCUCCAACACCGGGGAUUACAAUUAAACAUGAGAUUUGGGUGGG
RNA transcript from Homo sapiens (human), 2377 nucleotides. It is a transcript of the gene named solute carrier family 22 member 20, pseudogene, with no coding region annotated. NCBI's taxonomy places the organism in Eukaryota, Metazoa, Chordata, Mammalia, Primates, Hominidae. The record is from RefSeq and is marked validated. The transcript is spliced from 10 exons.